CAGAGGGUGCGAGCGUUGUCCGGAAUCACUGGGCGUAAAGGGCGCGUAGGCGGCCUGAUAAGUAGGGGGUGAAAUCCUGUGGCUUAACUGCAGGGCUGCCUCCUAGACUGUCGGGCUCGAGCACGGUAGAGGCAGAUGGAAUUCCCGGUGUAGCGGUGGAAUGCGUAGAGAUCGGGAAGAACAUCGGUGGCGAAGGCGGUCUGCUGGGCCGUUGCUGACGCUGAGGCGCGACAGCGUGGGGAGCAAACAGGAUUAGAUACCCUGGUAGUCCACGCCGUAAACGAUGGACACUAGGCGUCGGGGGGAGCGACCUCUCGGUGCCGUCGCUAACGCAGUAAGUGUCCCGCCUGGGGAGUACGGCCGCAAGGCUG
RNAcentral lists this ribosomal RNA (371 nucleotides) under uncultured organism. RNAcentral's name for it is "bacterial SSU rRNA". It matches the Rfam family "Bacterial small subunit ribosomal RNA", at positions 526 to 896 of the family's 1533-position model. The record is from RNAcentral.